GACGAACGCUGGCGGCGUGCCUAAUACAUGCAAGUAGAACGCAGUUGCGAACGGGUGAGUAACGCGUCGGUAACCUGCCUCAUAGCGGGGGAUAACUAUUGGAAACGAUAGACAAUACCGCAUACUGUGAGAUGGCUCUGAGUUGUAUUAGCUCGUUGGUGAGGAAAAGGCUCACCAAGGCGACGAUAACUAGCUGACCUGAGAGGGUGAUCUGCCACACGGGGACUGAGACACGGCCGAGACUCCUACGGGAGGCAGCAGUAGGGAAUAUUGGGCAAUGGACGAAAGUCUGACCGAGAAACGCCGCGUGAGUGAAGAAGGUUUUCGGAUCGUAAAACGCUGUUGUUAGGGAAGCGGUAUCUAACCAGAAAGCCACGGCUAACUACGUGCCAGCAGCCGCGGUAAUUC
RNAcentral lists this ribosomal RNA (408 nucleotides) under uncultured bacterium. RNAcentral's name for it is "partial 16S ribosomal RNA". It matches the Rfam family "Bacterial small subunit ribosomal RNA", at positions 28 to 526 of the family's 1533-position model. The record is from RNAcentral.